CUGUGAACCCCUGAAUAUCUCUCAAUCAGCUCUCAAUAACUGCUCAGUCAUCAAUGAAUAUUGUGGACUGAGACUUGAUGAAAGUUGUCCACUGAGCUUUCCUUUUCUGAGGAUCUCUAGUUUUCCAUCUAUCUUACUAACUUGUUCCUGAACUCCAAUAUUCAAGCUAGCUAGCUCAGGAGUAGGGACCAAACCAGCAGCUGGCCUGGAAGAAGGGGGGUCAGCCUGCUGAUCAAUACGGCUUCCCACUCACCCACUUUCCUUACCUGACACACUUACCUCUCCCUUUCCUGUGUAUAAAGUGUCUACUACUUAGAAUUAGUUCUGACUAGUAUCUAGAAACUAAGAAGCAGGGCUGAAGAUUUGGGGAGAACCAUACCUUUCCCUAAAAGGGAGGAUUAGCUGAGGAUUCCAGGGAUCCAAACAAUCAGACUCAAGAAGCAGUCAGCUCUCCAGAGCUGUGGAAUAAUCCAAGGGGGGUGGGGGGGAGAAGUGGCAGUUGGUGUACCUGAAGGAUCCAGAGGCAGAAGAGUUAGUCCUACCUCUCAACAAUAGAUGGGACCAAAAAAGGAAGUUAUUGCUGACCAGAUCAAAGCCUUCUCACUGGAUGCUCAAUGACCAAGAUCUGACUACAUCUAUCCAAACAGGAAACAUGGAACUUCCUAAUAGCUCCAAUGAGUACUUAUUAAUAUUGAAUUCUUGUCCUUAACAAUGAAUAUCUCUUGUAACAAUCUUAGAUUAAAGCAUAGUAUACAUUAAAAAAAAAACUUAAAGGAAAAUUACUCAUAUUUUUUAAUGUUUUGACUUUCUUUUAUACAUAACUUAAAAUACCCCAGGAUUUAAUUUGAUCUGUGUCUGGAAAAGAGCAACUCCUGGGUUCCAAUAUUUAAAAGUAGGAAUGUAUAUUCUAAGAUCUAAAAUAUUUGCUCUCUUUUGUUCAUUUAUCUUAUAAAAUAUAUGGAGCACUUCAUGCCUUUGUAAGUCAUCCUUGCACAGGUGCCAUGUUACACUUUUUCAUAUUGUUCUAUUUUUUAAGUAUAUUGCUCUGAAUCAAACAAUUACAUUCAUUUAGAUCAAUAAUUGAAACAUAUAUGAAUAAAACUAUCCUUUACCUAAACUCCUACUCA
This 1127-nucleotide long non-coding RNA is filed under the name Monodelphis domestica (gray short-tailed opossum). RNAcentral's name for it is "lncRNA (ENSMODG00000038418.1)". The record is from RNAcentral. Lineage: Eukaryota; Metazoa; Chordata; Mammalia; Didelphimorphia; Didelphidae.